CCGACCUUAGCUCAGUUGGUAGAGCGGAAGACUGUAGAUCUUUAGGUCGCUGGUUCGAUUCCGGCAGGCCGGA
This 73-nucleotide transfer RNA is filed under the name Brassica napus (rape). RNAcentral's name for it is "tRNA-Tyr (GTA) (tRNA-Tyr-GTA-16-1)". It matches the Rfam family "tRNA". Rfam says of the family: Transfer RNA (tRNA) molecules are approximately 80 nucleotides in length. Their secondary structure includes four short double-helical elements and three loops (D, anti-codon, and T loops). Further hydrogen bonds mediate the characteristic L-shaped molecular structure. tRNAs have two regions of fundamental functional importance: the anti-codon, which is responsible for specific mRNA codon recognition, and the 3' end, to which the tRNAs corresponding amino acid is attached (by aminoacyl-tRNA synthetases). tRNAs cope with the degeneracy of the genetic code in two manners: having more than one tRNA (with a specific anti-codon) for a particular amino acid; and 'wobble' base-pairing, i.e. permitting non-standard base-pairing at the 3rd anti-codon position. Lineage: Eukaryota; Viridiplantae; Streptophyta; Magnoliopsida; Brassicales; Brassicaceae. The record is from RNAcentral.